RNAcentral lists this transfer RNA (74 nucleotides) under Stegodyphus mimosarum. It matches the Rfam family "tRNA". Rfam says of the family: Transfer RNA (tRNA) molecules are approximately 80 nucleotides in length. The record is from Rfam by way of RNAcentral. Lineage: Eukaryota; Metazoa; Arthropoda; Arachnida; Araneae; Eresidae.
GCCUUGGUGGUGUAAUGGUCAAGUACGCUCGGCGUGUAUUCGAGAGGUCCGCGGUUCGAGUCCCGGCGAAGGCU